UACGUAGGGGGCAAGCGUUGUCCGGAAUUAUUGGGCGUAAAGAGCGCGUAGGCGGUCCGGUAAGUCAGCUGUGAAAGUCAAGGGCUCAACCCUUGAAAGCCGGUUGAUACUGUCGGGCUAGAGUCCGGAAGAGGCGAGUGGAAUUCCCGGUGUAGCGGUGAAAUGCGCAGAUAUCGGGAGGAACACCAAUGGCGAAGGCAGCUCGCUGGGACGGUACUGACGCUGAGGCGCGAAAGCCAGGGGAGCGAACGGG
RNAcentral lists this ribosomal RNA (253 nucleotides) under uncultured bacterium. RNAcentral describes it as "partial 16S ribosomal RNA". It matches the Rfam family "Bacterial small subunit ribosomal RNA", at positions 524 to 776 of the family's 1533-position model. The record is from RNAcentral.